GACGAACGCUGGCGGCGUGUCUAACACAUGCAAGUCGAACGGAGAUAAAGAUUUCGGUUUUUAUCUUAGUGGCGCACGGGUGAGUAACACGUGAAUAACCUGACCCAAAGAGGGGGAUAACACCUGGAAACAGGUGCUAAUACCGCAUAAGACCACAAUGUCGCAUGACGAAGGGGUCAAAGAAAAUCGCUUUGGGAGGGGUUCGCGUCCCAUUAGGUAGUAGGCGGGGUAACGGCCCACCUAGCCGACGAUGGGUAGCCGAGCUGAGAGGCUGAUCGGCCACACUGGAACUGAGACACGGUCCAGACUCCUACGGGAGGCAGCAGUGGGGAAUAUUGGGCAAUGGGCGCAAGCCUGACCCAGCAACGCCGCGUGAGGGAAGAAGGUUUUCGGAUUGUAAACCUCUGUCGCAGAAGACGAAGGAAGUGACGGUAUUCUGUGAGGAAGCCCCGGCUAACUACGUGCCAGCAGCCGCGGUAAUACGUAGGGGGCGAGCGUUGUCCGGAAUUACUGGGCGUAAAGGGAGCGUAGGCGGUCUGAUAAGUUGGAUGUGAAAUACCCGGGCUUAACUUGGGGGGUGCAUCCAAUACUGUUGGACUAGAGUACAGGAGAGGAAAGCGGAAUUCCUAGUGUAGCGGUGAAAUGCAUAGAUAUUAGGAGGAACAUCGGUGGCGAAGGCGGCUUUCUGGACUGCAACUGACGCUGAGGCUCGAAAGCGUGGGGAGCAAACAGGAUUAGAUACCCUGGUAGUCCACGCUGUAAACGAG
RNAcentral lists this ribosomal RNA (767 nucleotides) under uncultured bacterium. Its description in RNAcentral is "bacterial SSU rRNA". It matches the Rfam family "Bacterial small subunit ribosomal RNA", at positions 28 to 810 of the family's 1533-position model. The record is from RNAcentral.